This 1358-nucleotide long non-coding RNA is filed under the name Parus major (Great Tit). Its description in RNAcentral is "lncRNA (ENSPMJG00000006789.1)". The record is from RNAcentral. Lineage: Eukaryota; Metazoa; Chordata; Aves; Passeriformes; Paridae.
UUUUUUUUUUAAUUUUUAUUUUUUCCCCCUUUGUGCAAUAAAGUUUUGUUUUGGCAGAACGGAGCCUGUGGUAUUCCUUAGUGGGAAUUCUCCUGGAAUAACGAUUUCCCGCGGCACUGCAGGACAGGAUUCCCAGUUUUGCCACUGCUGGGAGCCAAAAUUCCAGAGCCCAGAUCCCAUUUCCCACUGCAAAUCCCAUUUGGGUCUCCCAGACUCCGCUCUCGGCUCCUUUUCCUCGUUUUCCACAAUCCGAGGCAUUUCCACCCCAAAGCAGGCAGCGAAUCCAGCGGGAAUUGAUCCCAAACUUCCCAAACUCAGGAACCUUUUACAAAACUUUUAUUCCCAGUCCCGCUGUCCCUGGGAUUGGGAGGGAUCCCGAGGAUUCCGGGAGGGAUUUCUGAGCAUCCCAUGAAGGAUUCCCAAGGAUUUUGGGAGGGAUUCCAAGAGGGAUUCCCAAGGAUCCUGGCAGAGAUUCCAGGAAGGAUUCCAGCCAGGAUUCCUGAAGAUUCCAGGAGGGAUUCCAGGGGGGAUUCCCGAGGAUCCUGGGAGAGAUUCCAGGAAGGAUUCCAGCCAGGAUUCUGGAGGAUUCCAGCUGGAAUUCCUGAUGAUUCCAGGGGGGAUUCCAGGGGGGAUUCCCAAGGAUUCUGGGAGGGAUUCCCGAGGUCUCCAGGAGGGAUUCCCAAGGAUUCCAGCUGGUAUUGCUGAGGUUUCUGGCCAGGAUUGUGGAGGAUCCCAGCUGGAAUUCCCGAUGAUCCCAGCUGGAAUUCCUGAUGAUCCCAGCACACUCAGGGCUGCGGGGCGGCUCCGUCUUGGGCGAGCAGCUCGGGGAAGAGCGCGGGCAGCCAGAACUGCGGCUCAGCCGGAGCCUGAGCGUCCAGCCAGGCCAUGCCCUCCUUCAGCAGCUGCUCCUGGGAAAUGGGAAUGGGCUGGGAAUGGCUGGGAUGGGCUGGGAAGGGCUGGGAAUGGGCUGGGGAUGGGCUGGGAAUGGGCUGGGGAUGGCUGGGAAUGGGCUGGGAAUGGCUGGGAAUGGGCUGGGAAUGGGCGGGAAUGGGGAGAGAAUGGCUGGGAUGGGCUGGGAAUGGCUGGGAAUGGGCUGGGAAUGGCUGGGAAUGGGGAGAAUGGCUGGGAAUGGGGUGGGAAGGGUGGGAAUGGUGUGAAUGGGCUGGGAAUGUGGUGGGAAUGACUGGGAAUGGGCUGGGAAUGGCUGGGAAUGGGUGGGAAUAGGGUGGGAAUAGGAUGGGAAUGGCUGGGAAUGGGGUGGGAGUGGGUUGGGAAUGGGAUGGGAAUGGCUGGGAAUGGGUGGGAAUGGGGUCGGAAUAGGAUGGGAAUGGUGGGAAUGGGCUGGGAGUGUGCUGGGA